GGUCCCAUCGUCUAGUGGCCUAGGACACUGGCCUCUCACGCCGGUAACACGGGUUCGAAUCCCGUUGGGACCACCA
RNAcentral lists this transfer RNA (76 nucleotides) under Nitrospirota bacterium. Its description in RNAcentral is "Nitrospirae bacterium (groundwater metagenome) tRNA-Glu". It matches the Rfam family "tRNA". From Rfam's summary of the family: Transfer RNA (tRNA) molecules are approximately 80 nucleotides in length. Their secondary structure includes four short double-helical elements and three loops (D, anti-codon, and T loops). The record is from RNAcentral. Lineage: Bacteria; Pseudomonadati; Nitrospirota.